CCUACGGGAGGCAGCAGUAGGGAAUCUUCCACAAUGGACGCAAGUCUGAUGGAGCAACGCCGCGUGAGUGAAGAAGGUUUUCGGAUCGUAAAGCUCUGUUGUUGGUGAAGAAGGAUAGAGGUAGUAACUGGCCUUUAUUUGACGGUAAUCAACCAGAAAGUCACGGCUAACUACGUGCCAGCAGCCGCGGUAAUA
RNAcentral lists this ribosomal RNA (195 nucleotides) under uncultured bacterium. RNAcentral's name for it is "partial 16S ribosomal RNA". It matches the Rfam family "Bacterial small subunit ribosomal RNA", at positions 338 to 525 of the family's 1533-position model. The record is from RNAcentral.